AACGAACGCUGGCGGCAUGCCUAACACAUGCAAGUCGAACGAGACCUUCGGGUCUAGUUGCGCACGGGUGCGUAACGCGUGGGAACCUGCCCUUAGGUUCGGAAUAACUCCCCGAAAGGGGUGCUAAUACCGGAUAAUGUCUUCGGACCAAAGAUUUAUCGCCUUUGGAUGGGCCCGCGUUGGAUUAGCUAGUUGGUAGGGUAAAAGCCUACCAAGGCGACGAUCCAUAGCUGGUCUGAGAGGAUGAUCAGCCACACUGGGACUGAGACACGGCCCAGACUCCUACGGGAGGCAGCAGUGGGGAAUAUUGGACAAUGGGCGAAGGCCUGAUCCAGCAAUGCCGCGUGAGUGAUGAAGGCCUUAGGGUUGUAAAGCUCUUUUACCCGGGAUGAUAAUGACAGUACCGGGAGAAUAAGCUCCGGCUAACUCCGUG
Molecule: ribosomal RNA, 433 nt
Filed under: uncultured bacterium
Lineage: Bacteria
Description: partial 16S ribosomal RNA
Rfam family: Bacterial small subunit ribosomal RNA
Source: RNAcentral